GGGGAAUAUUGCACAAUGGGCGCAAGCCUGAUGCAGCCAUGCCGCGUGUGUGAAGAAGGCCUUCGGGUUGUAAAGCACUUUAAGCGAGGAGGAGGCUACUCUAGUUAAUACCUAGGGAUAGUGGACGUUACUCGCAGAAUAAGCACCGGCUAACUCUGUGCCAGCAGCCGCGGUAAUACAGAGGGUGCGAGCGUUAAUCGGAUUUACUGGGCGUAAAGCGUGCGUAGGCGGCUUUUUAAGUCGGAUGUGAAAUCCCUGAGCUUAACUUAGGGAUUGCAUUCGAUACUGGUCAGCUAGAGUAUGGGAGAGGAUGGUAGAAUUCCAGGUGUAGCGGUGAAAUGCGUAGAGAUCUGGAGGAAUACCGAUGGCGAAGGCAGCCAUCUGGCCUAAUACUGACGCUGAGGUACGAAAGCAUGGGGAGCAAAC
Molecule: ribosomal RNA, 426 nt
Filed under: uncultured bacterium
Lineage: Bacteria
Description: bacterial SSU rRNA
Rfam family: Bacterial small subunit ribosomal RNA
Source: RNAcentral